RNA transcript from Zeugodacus cucurbitae (melon fly), 12804 nucleotides. RefSeq lists it as uncharacterized. The record is from RefSeq and is a predicted model, not a curated record. NCBI's taxonomy places the organism in Eukaryota, Metazoa, Arthropoda, Insecta, Diptera, Tephritidae. The transcript has 25 exons.
CAAGCAACAAUUUGACUUGGAGCUUAGUGUCACGCAUACUUCGUGUAUGCCAAAAAAAUAGAAAAAGAUAAAAGAAAAUUAUACAUAUAUUCGACAAAAUUUAAAACACACAUGAAAACCAAAAAUUAAUAUAUUAAAAUUUCUUACUUAGUUAAAGUUCAAUAACUCAACUUGCUCAACAGAUCAACAACAUUUUAAAUAUCACAAAAACAUCGACAUUGAGAAGGAGUAACACUUGGCAUCUGUCCGUAUGGAUCAAAAUCCUAGUAGAAAUGCCAAUAUGAGUGGCAGACUCAAGAACUCUACAGCUCAUAACCCAAAUGUAUGUCCGCAAGUUCGUGGCCGACCGCGUAACCGUCAAUUUCGUUUAACGUCAACAUCAGCAAACGAAGAGGAAUUAGCACCCAAUUCACCGCCCACCAUUCUUAACAUAGUGGUACCGAGUCAAAUAGGCAGUGAAACAUCGGUUGUCAGUUCUCGCUUAAAUACUACAUCGUUGAAUGUCGUCACAAAAUCGUCGGCGCCUUUCACGUCGAUGUUAGAAUCGCAUGAGUCUAAUGAGGAUACCCAGAAACCGGAAUUUGAUUCGUGGAACGACCAGUCUCAUGCUACAAUUAAAUCGUCCACAAAGAAGUGCCAGUCAAAAUCUUCGAAAGCUGAAAGAGGCUUUUCUAAGGAGGAAAGUUUUGAAUCUCACCUAUCAGUUACAGCCUGUCAGCCUUGUAAACCAGCUCAACAUGAUGUGAGUUAUUUGAAGCAACGCCUUGUCAAAUAUCGUGCCGAAACUGAAAGUUGUGGAGAUGCAGCUAGACUUAAUGGACAGUUAAAUGAAAUAUUCGUACGACGAUUGGUGGACAUUGAAAAUGUGGCGACAGGCGAUACGGAUAUCAAACUCGUAACUUACCAGGAAUGGGUGGAUAUGCUAAUGCAAAUCAACGAAGUUAUCAUUGGUAAUAUGGCAGAUCUUGAGAGUGAGGUAGCAGAGCGGCUGGAAUGCAUGAAACGCCGUAUACAAUCAACCUGUAGCCAAACGAGCAGCAAUGAACAUAAAUACCGCCAGGACAUUUGUGCGCUAAUGAAACUCAUAAAGAACGCAUACCAUCAUGAUAACUGGGAUAUACAAGGACUCGAAUUUCAAACUGUAAAUCCAACUGAGAUUUUGGGCAUGAGAGAUAACACAUGCUCAGACAUGGAACAAUCGAAUACUAUGAGGCUAGAAUACGGCGAAGAUGACCGAGAUUCCCCCAAUAGGUGUUGUCUUAAUGAGCCGGAAUGUAUUUUGGAAAGUGUUAUAUUUCAUCCGCCUGAUGUACGGUGCGGAGAAAAUAAUCGGCCCGUCAAUACGUCGAGCUGUGCCGGCAGUUGCGCUAAUACCUGCAGUCAAAAUGAAAAUAUGCUUGUGAAACCAAUGUGCCCAGGCUCGGACAUUAUAACAGAUAACUCGGUAGAUUCAUGCAAAACGAGUUCCCUUGCAAAUCCCCAUAACUCCAAUUCGAAUUUGCGUGCUCUAGCAGUGGAAGUGGCCGCGAAACAUGAUGAGAUCUGUGACUUAAGACGACAAGUUUCUUGCUUAGAGGAUGAAAUACAGAAGGCGCAGCAAAAGCUUCAACUAAAGGACAAUGUUAUAAAAGAGUUGCGAAAUGAUUUGAGAUGUGUCAAUACUAAGCUAAUUGAUAACGGUUCGGGCGUUUGUGGUGCAUGUCGCGAAGAAUCGGCAAAUUACAACAUGCCACCAAUCAACCUGGAACAACAUUCGUCGCGAAGUGCUUCGACCCAAGUGUCUGCCGGAAUGGAGUUGUGCAAUCAGGUCUCAUUUAUUGCUGAAAACCUGUCAUAUGAUUCAUUGAGUAAUGCCGGCCAAGUGGAACAACAAAAGUUAAAAGCUCUCGAAUUUGAAUUAAACGAGCUCUUCCAAGUUACUAGAGAGUUUAAAAUCCAAAAUCUGGAAUAUCAUCGAAAGCGGCUGUCGGACAUUUUGAACAAAUCCGAAACCGAAAAAGCAGAAGCCUAUAGAAAGUUAGACCAUAUUCGCAAGCAACUCAUUAAUCUAGAAGCUUCUUCGGCAAUAUCAUCUAAAAGCUGCUGCAAUGAUUCUGACUCGGGUUUCAGCUCCAAAUGCGACAAUGAUCAGGAUGCUAAGAUAUUAGAUGCUCUACGAAAUCGUUUACAACGGCUCAAUGAAAUGAACAUGGUAUUGAAUCAUCGCGUUCAAACACUCACAAUUGAAAAUAAUGAACUAUCGACGUGCUUAAAAACAGAGCAGACUUUUGCAAAGAGGAAUAGUGAUACACUAAAGAAUCUAGCUGAUAUGAUAUGUGGAAUGUCGGACCAGGAAUUUGUCUACGAUGAUAUUUAUAAUAGAAAUUCUGAGUCUAACCCUUUCUGUCAAGCCAUCAUAAAAAUGAAAUGCGAUUUCGAAGAAAAGGAACGAAAACUUAUGAAUAGUUUAUCAAUGAAACAAGAACAGCUGGCCAAACUACAGAAAUCUCAAAUUUGCAAACAGCAUGAUCUGGAACAAUUAGACAGUAGCACCACAUUGUCAGGCGACUGUUCACACGGCGACCAAUUUCAACAACCAUUUAAAUUAUGGGACAAAACACAUAUGCUCUCAACUUAUGACAGUUACUUGAACAUUGUCAAUGAAUUGAAGAACGAACUCUCGUUCCUAUCGAGACAAGUGGCUAUGGUACAAAAAGAGUUUCAUGAUUCAUCCGAACAUGACGAGGAACGCUGCACAAAGCUCGAGUCGUCGCUCAAGAUCUUGGAAUCGCAAAACGACUUACUACAGCACGCAUUGGAACAAGUCUCACAAGACAAUCACAAACACUGUUAUGAACUAAGCCAAAGUAACGAAAAUCUUCGAUGCCAGGUACAGCAUCUGCAGUGUACUAUUUUGGAGAAGGAACAGUGUAUAGGAAAGCUAAAUAAUAUGCUGGAUCAACUGCGAUGCGAGCAACAGCAACAAUACCAACAACGUACCAGUGAUUGUUGCCUCAAAGCUAAAGACAAAGAAAUACGAGAGUUGUGUCAGAAGUUAGAACAAGCAAAUAAAAAGAUUGAAUCACUUGUAUGUGAACUAGAACAGAGUCAAAAACAAGAGCGGUUCUUGCUUUGCGAAACUCGAAAACUGAACGAAGAAUUGAAUGAAAGUAAACGGAAGCAUGGAGACGUAAGUACGCAGAUGCAUCGGUUGAACACACUAUUGAAGUCUCAAAAUGAUUGUCGAGCGGAUAUUUGUAAAAAAUACGAGGAACUGGAACGAAACUAUGAGGAUCAGGCGAAACAGUUACGAGCCGCCUGUGCGCAAAUGAAUUGCCUACAAGAGCGUUUAGCGCUAAUGGAUAAACGUCAAGAGGAGCAUAAUAUGGAGGUAUUGAUGCAUACUUUUCAGCGUAAUCUAUUAAGGGAUGAGGUCCUGGCUUUGAAAGAAAAAGAGGCCACAUUGCUUAACAAACAAAGAUGUCUGGCGGAUAAAUUGUUAAAGACCGAGAAGGAGUUAUAUACUGCACACGAUGUAAUGAAGGAGCAGCAACAUAUUAUGCAACGCAGUGAGUCUACGCAAAAAGACUGCACAAAGCGACUUCAAGAAGCAAACAAUGAGUUAAAGCGACAAUUUAACGUGCUUUGUGAUGACUACAAGCAACUCGAGAAUGAGUACAGUGCGAUCUGCGCAAACAAAAUGAGAAGGUCAUUGAUUCUUUUCGUAAAUGGAAGGAAGCGCAGCUUAAAGCAGAUGACGCGACCCGAGCAAGUUUUAAGCAGUAUGAGGGACACAUUAAACUUCUACUGGAAGAAAAACAGCAAUUCACCGAACAAUAUCGCUGUCUGCACGGAGACUACAUGGCGCUGCAAAAUGAAUUAGAAAGGAUAAAGUUGUGCACCUACAGGUUUAACACUUCUGGAAAUUCUUCGAAUAUUUCGGAAAAAUCGUUGCCACAGCGCAUUGAACUGAUUCGAAGCACUUCACUGCGAGUUUCACAGAAGAGUAGUUCUUUAAAAUGUGAUGACACAUCUCAAGACGCAUCUUUGUCGACGAAUCCUCUGUGAGAUUACUCGCUAAAUACCAUCAUCAAGCAUUAAAGUACAGUAAUAAGGAACUUAGAUAUUUAAGAUAGCUAUGUAGAGUGCCAUUUCUUGGGAUAUUCAGCAUUGGUAGCCGCAUAUCAUAAAUGCAAUGUCGAAGUAUGUGAAUCACAUGUAUAAUACCUACUUAAUUAAUUUGAGUAUAUUAACUAGUUGUGUUCUGAGUUGAGUUUAUAACCAACUAAAUGUGUGUAUAUGUAUAUAUAUAUUAUAUUUAUCUAUACAUAUAUAUACAAAUUAAAAUAUUUUUAGUACACAUAUUUAUUUUUUGACAAUGUUCAUUUUAUGACAAAUAUGUCACAUACAUAUCAAAGCAAAAUAUUUUGCUUCUAAAUUAGAUUAGGAAAUAUUCAUAAAUAAAAAAUUGUAUAUUUAUGGCAAAAAAAUCGAAAUGUGGAAAUAAAAAAAUUGGCUGCGAAAACAUUCUUAAAGUUGAAAUUUCCUAACUAUUCAACCAACAAGAAUCUGGGCAAAGCAUGAGACAUUGUGAAUAUACAUAUCGCUCAUUUACAUGAAUAGUGUCAUAACUUAAAAAACACUAUUAUUAAGUUGAGUAUGUAGAAAUGUACGUAAAAUCAUUGUCCAUAUGUGUAAAUAUUGCAUUCUGAUGCGUAGAAAAGAUAAGAAUGUGUCGUUAUUCCAUUUGUUAUUUUGCAUUUUCUUUAACCACAAUAACGACGUUGUGUUACAACGAUUUUGGUGAAGAGAUAAUUAAAUUUUUCAUGUUGCUUUUUCUCAGAAAUUCCGACGCAUUUGACUCUUAUGACAGCGAAAUUGAUUCAUAUUUUUAACAAAUAACGUCAUAUUUCAAAGUUGAAGACAUUUAUGCUCAAGAAAAACCUUUGGCUAACUCUGUUUAGUCCACUAAUACUCAGCUUUUUAUUUAAUAUGUAAUAUAUGCCACGAGAUGUUUCAAAAAACUUAUGGCGUUUUUCUAUAUUUGCUAAAUAGGAGACAAUUGAAAUUCUUAUCUCUUCUAUGUACAUGAGUGAUACAUAUGUAUAUGCAAAGCAGCAAUAACAUUUAUUUGAUUUAAUUUAUGUAUAAAAUACACCACGUCUCUACACUCUGUAUAUAUCUAUCAGCCCUAUUCUCAUGCCCUCACAAAAAUCACUAUACUCACUACAGUGAGGUUUUUGGAUUUUGUGAUGAUUUCCUUAUGCUGGAGAAAAUUUAAAAGUUCAAAUGCUCACAAUUUUCUCAAACAUCUGUGACAUGUGAAAGCAGCCAUCACAAUACAAAAAUAUUUGUGUUUGUUUUGGUUUUUAGCAAAAUUUGGAAACAAAUGUUGUUGAAUUGUUCUUUCAAACCGAAUCUGGAGCAAUAAGGACGUACCUUGCAUUUUCAUUUGUUGAGCGAUUUGCUGCCAACCACAUCUACAAUCCAAUAAGGACGCAUUAUUUUUGUAAAGCAAAGGACACUGACACACAGCCUCUAUAAGACGAUGAUUUACAUCCAUGUUAUUUUUAUACUCUCGCAACAAAUGUUGCUAAAGAGAGUAUUAUAGUUUUGUUCACAUAACGGUUGUUUGUAACACCCAAAACUAAACGAGUUAGAUAUAGGGUUAUAUAUGCCAAAGUGAUCAGGGUGAAGAGUGGAGUUCAAAUCCGAAUGUCUGUCCGUCCGUCCGUCCGUCUGUGCAAGCUGUAACUUGAGUAAAAAUUAAGAUAUCUUGAUGAAACUUGGCACACUUAUUUCUUGGCACCAUAGCUUUGCUUUCGAAAAUGAGCAAAAUCGGACCACUGCCACGCCCACAAAAUGGCGAAAACCAAAAACACAAAGUGCCAUAACUAAGCCAUAAAUAAAGCUAUGGAAAUAAAAUUUAGUAUGAAGGAUCGCACUAUGAAGGGGCAUAUUUGGAUGUAAUUUUUUUGGGGAAGUGGCCCCGCCCCCUACUAAAUUUUUUGCACAUAUCUCGCAAACCAAUAGAGCUAUAUAAACCAAGCUUUCUGCAGUCGUUUUUUAGCCACUUCCUAAUACAGUCAAAAAAUUAAAGAAAUCGGAUUAUAACCACGCCCACCUCCCAUACAAAAGUUAGGUUGAAAAUUAAUAAAAGUGGGUUAACUCACUAGCGAAAAACGUCAGAAACACUAAAUUUCACAUAAGAAAUGGCAGAUGAAGGCUGCACUCAGAUUUUUUUACAAAAUGGAAAAUGGGCGUGGCGUCACCCACUUAUGGGUCAAAAACCAUAUCUCAGGAACUACUCGACCGAUUUCCAUGAAACUUGGUUUGUAAUAGUUUCCUUACAUCACAAUGAUAUGUUGUGAAAAUAGGCCAACUCGCUUCACAACCACGCCUACUUCCUAUAUACCAGAACUUUGAAAACAAUCUGAAUCGUUUACUUUACAAUAUAUAAUGUAAGCACUAGUAAAGAUAUCGGUGCAGAACUUUGCACAAAUACUAUGUUAAUAGUGUGGCAGCCCCAUUCUAAAAAUCGCCGAAAUCGGACCAUAGGUUCUUAAGGCCCUAUAUAUCGAACACGAGGACCUCGGUGCUUCUAACCUAAUAUUAUGGUUUCCAACUUUCAAUGGACUUUAUAGAAUAUAUAUGACGAAUAUGUGGGUCAAAUUGUGUAUUAUAUAAUAUAAAUAAAGUUAAAUAAAUAAAUUGCGAGAGUAUAAAAUGUUCGGUUACACCCGAACUUAGCCCUUCCUUACUUGUUUUAUAAUUCUUUUGUUUUUUAACUUUCGACUGUAAAUACGCAAUUGUGAUGUUUUUCAUUUGUUUACAAAUUUUACAACAAUUUGUAUUUAUUUUGAACUAGCAGACCCGGCCACACGUUUUUGUGGCUAAGGUAUACAUUCAAUUAAUUUGGUCCAAUCUUGGCUUCGGCAACGAUAUUGAUUACUCGAGGUUGAUUUAUGUUACGCAGCAUGAUGACAACUCACACUACUUUUAAUUGCAAAGUGAGUGGUGAUAGUACAGGCAAUUUUAAAUAGUUUGGGAUAAUUGACUACGUCAUCCUGGUUUCUAGCUGUGUCAACUCUCUUGGACCGAAAUUCUAAAUUGUCGCAUUACGAUCAUCGAUAUUUUUUUUUACCACCAAUAUAGGUCAUUCAAUAAGUCAUUUAUGGUUAUCAUAUUGAGGUUUCAUGUCAGGAAAACUUUCUUUCUGUUGGAAAUGCUAUUAAUCCAUCGAGGUGUCAACUGCCAACAGCUUCUACAUUCGCAAUUUGAUAUUGUUCAAAAACACUCAUAUGUUAGUUUUUAAUUGGCGAUUCUUUAUGUGUCGCCACAAAUUAAAUGAUUUUAGGCAUGCGAUUAGUCCGUUAGUAACAGUUGAUCCAGGAAUAAUUGGAAGAGUCUGGCGUAAAUCACCUCCUAACAGAAUCCUGGCUCCACCAAAAACGUUCAUCAACAAUCAAGAUCUUUUAAAGUCCUGUGCAGUACCUCCAGCGACUUCUUGAAUAUUUGGAAAAUCUUCGUUAUAGCGCUAUUUUUGGCGAUUUUGCCGACUGGUUUUUCGUUCAUUUGCAAUUUAGGAGUAAUUUCAAGGCCGAAUGUGCCGUUUGUUUGCCUACUAACAGGUGUCAAGUUGACCCUAUACCCGUUAACCUUGGUGGUGAAAAUGAGUUAAAUUGGUUCUGGAAUUACAUCAGCCCUCAUAUGCUAUAUAUGAUGAUUUUCUAUUGGACUAUAUGCCGAAUAUAUACAGUAUACUCUCGAAAAGUAAAUUCUCAGAAAGUAAAUAAUCGCGGUAAAGUUAAUCACCUUUAAGAUUACACAUGUACCUCGAAAAAGUAAAUUUUUUAAUUUACUUUUCAGAGAGUGUGAUAAAAAAUUAGAAACGAAACAAGCAGCGUUUUUUACGAUGUUGCAAAAACACUUACUCUCUUGUUUAUCGCGUCUGUUUAGUAAAUAAACUCUCCUACUUGAUCCACUGGUUUAAAAAUGAAAACGAUGCAAAUCAGGUGUCAGACUUUUUGAAUUGUCGUACAAAAAUGGUCAGAAAAUAUAUUGCAAAAGAAAAAAAACAAAAGAAUAUUCAAGAUUUUUUUUCUUCAUAGUAAAAACAUAUAUGUAUGUAUGUAAAUAAAUGAAUGAAUUUUUAAAGUUUAAAAAUGCAUUUAAUAUUAUAAAAACAGAUAAUUUAUGUAUAUAUUUGGAAAAGUAAAUUAUUCGAAAAAGUAAAUUACCCAAAAUACCAAUCGAUUUACUUUUCGAGAGUAUACUGUACGUCAAAUUGUGUGUUAUCUUAAUAAAAUUGCAUCAAUAAAUUGCGAGAGUAUAAAAUGUUCGGUUGGACCCGAACUUAGCUUUUCCUUAUUUGUUACAAAUUGUUUUGGGCUAUCGACACAAUCUUAUACAAUUGAACAAUAACAAAAAUAUUUUAACAAAGCAACAAUGAUAACCUUCAAAAUAUUAUUUUUUUGUUUUCUCUUUUUAUAUUUUUCUUCUCAACUCGAAUAAAAUUCUCGUAUUAUUAUCUUCCUCGCAAUUUUUCCAUAUUUACUCACUUUCUAAUCUUUUUAUGGCCUUCCACGAAUAUUUCAAGACUAAAAUUAACCAGAUCGGUUUGGCCGUUUUUGCGGCACAAACGAACAGCAAUUCAUUUUUAUAUUAUAUUAUUAUCAAGCGACAAAUUUUUUAUUUCCGUACAGGACCAUUCAGUAGGGAAUCGACCGCGCGAGUGAUCUUAACCCCCUCCCGUACCACCGUGCACGAGUGACGCCUACAACUCUACAUACAACGCAUAGUUAGCCGCCGAGCGGCCUUUCAAAAUUUUUAACUCGUGAUAUCUUUUGAAUGGAAUGUCAGAAUCUAAUAAUUCAAAAAGUUAUAUAAAGGUUUUGAAGCGAUCUUAAAUAAUAAAUAAUAUUUCGAUAAGGAUUAAUACUAAGGUACAAAUAAAGAGACUUUUCAAGUAGUGGUACUUUAAUUAAUUUUUUUUUAUAAAAUCGCUUAUAGUGACAAAGCUAUAAUAGUUAGAGAUAUGAUGUCGCGACGUUUUUUGUAGAUAAUGAUAAGUUCUACAAAAUUGUAGUACAUCACUUUGUUAUAUCUUCAAUCGUUUUCGCAGCAUUCGCGAUUAAAGAAAGUUUUUUGGUAUUUUUUUUACAUUAUCGGAGUUUUGGUAAGGAACCCUAUUUUUUUUUUAACUAAAUAUAGCCUAUGUCGCUCAGGGAUAGUAUAGUUUUCCAACGGUGAAAGAAUUUUUCAAAUCGGUUCAGUAGUUUCGGAGCCUAUUCGAGACAAACAAACAAAAAAACAAACCUUUCCUCUUUAUAAUCUUAGUAUAGAAGUAUAGAUUUAUUUCUUUUGAAAAAACCUGUUUGACAGCAAAAUGCUUUUCACCUCAAUUGCUGACUUUUUUAAGCUUUUUAUACUCUCGCAACAAAUGUUGCUAAAGAAAGUAUUAUAGUUUUGUUCACAUAACGGUUGUUUGUAACACCCAAAACUAAACGAGUUAGGUAUAGGGUUAUAUAUACCAAAGUGAUCAGGGUGAAGAGUGGAGUUCAAAUCCGAAUGUCUGACUGUCCGUCCGUCCGUCUGUCUGUGCAAGCUGUAACUUGAGUAAAAAUUAAGAUAUCUUGAUGAAACUUGGCACACUUAUUUCUUGGCACCAUAGGAAGGUUGCUUUCGAAAAUGAGCAAAAUCGGAAACCAAAAAUACAUAAAGUGCAAUAACUAAGCCAUAAAUAAAGCUAUGGAAAUAAAAUUUGGUAUGAAGGAUCGCACUAUGAAGGGGCAUAUUUGGAUGUAAUUCUUUUGGGGAAGUGGGCGUGGCCCCGCCCCCUACUAAGUUUUUUGUACAUAUCUCGCAAACCAAUAGAGCUAUAUAAACCAAACUUUCUGUAGUCGUUUUUUUUUAGCCACUUCCUAAUACAGUCCAAAAAUUAAAGAAAUCGGAUCAUAACCACGCCCACCUCCCAUACAAAAGUUAAGUUGAAAAUUGCUAAAAGUGGGUUAACUCACUAACGAAAAACAUCAGAAACACUAAAUUUCACAUAAGAAAUGGCAGAUGAAAGCUGCACUCAGACUUUUUUACAAAAUGGAAAAUGGGCGUGGUGUCGCCCACUUAUGGGUCAAAAACCAUAUCUCACCAACUACUCGACCGAUUUCCAUGAAACUUGGUUUGUAAUAGUUUCCUUACAUCCCAAUGAUAUGUUGUGAAAAUAGGCCAAAUCGCUUCACAACCACGCCUACUUCCUAUAUACCAGAACUUUGAAGAAGAUCUGAAUCGUUUACUUUACAAUAUAUAAAGUAAGCACUAGUGAAGAUAUCGGUGCAGAACUUUGCACAAAUACUAUGUUAAUAGUGUGGCAGCCCCAUUCUAAAAAUCGCCGAAAUCGGACCAUAGGUUUUUAAGGCCCCAUAUAUCGAACACGAGGACCUCGGUGCUUCUAACCUAAUAUUAUUGUUUCCAACUUUUAAUGGACUUUAUACAAUAUAUAUGACGAAUAUGUGGGUCAAAUUUUGUAUUAUAUAAUAUAAAUAAAGUUAAAUAAAUAAAUUGCGAGAGUAUAAAAUGUUCGGUUACACCCGAACUUAGCCCUUCCUUACUUGUUUCUUAUGAGGUUCGAGCCAGAAUAGACUCACAAAAUAUACGUCACAAGAAACCUCACAAAUUUUUCCUCUCAACUCAGUUAUGAGGUUUUUUCAGAAUAGGGCUGUAUGUUUCAAUAAGUUUGCUUCUGUCAUUAGCAGUACCUUCGAACUACUUUGCAAUCCAACCUGUGUGGGGACCCGCUCACCGCAGUAUCUCUGGAAACUGCAAAGCGGGCUAUCUUGACGCCGGAGUGGAAUCGGGUGGGUAGUCCGUGGUCCACUUGCGCUAGAUCAUUGUAGCUCGUCAAACGCUGGACAACAACAAGCAAGUGUGCAGUAUCGAGGUUUUUCUGGCCCGCAGUAGGAAGGCUCAUCUCGCCGCAAUCAUUGGUGUACUUACUGGUCAUUAUUAUUGAGGGACUUGUAGAGUUUGGUUUUUGUUCGUCGAGAGAGGACUUUACUUUUCAAUUGCCUACUUAGUCCGAAGUAGCACUAGCUGGCAAGAGUGAUCCUAAUGAUUUCUAGACUGAUAGUUUUAUUAGUGUUAAUGUUGGUUCCAAGCUAUACGAAAUUAUCUACAACUUCGAAGUUAUGAUGGCAACAGUGACGUGAGAGCCAAAUUUCCAAUGACUGUUUGUUUGUUGACAGGAUAUAUAUCGUCUUAUCCUCAUUCACUAUCAGACCCACUCGCUUCGCUUCCUUAUCUAGUAUCAUUAUCAUCUGCAUACGCCAGCAGCAGAAGAUUGUACCUUCUCUAUUAUGUUUUGUUCUAGGGGAUGAGAUCAUGUGUAGAAGUUCACGUAAGUGAGGAAAGUUUCUGACUGUCAUUCACUGGGGAGUGGCCAAGAACGAUCCUUUGGAUAUGGCUCAAGCAGCUCACGCCUUCCGGUCUUAGAUCAAGUAUCCUAUGGGUAGCCAAUAUCCUCCGAGACGAGCUAAUGUGAGCAGAAGAAGCCCCCUUCGACGGUUGUGCGUAGGGUAGGGCUUUGCCCAAUGAAAAGAAAGCAACAGCCUCGGAUGAAAGACCCCAAAUUUAAUAAAAUGUUUUAAUAGCCUAAAAUAUAUACAAACAGGGAAUGGUUUUUCAUAUCUUCUUCCAUCCAGUUUUGUCCUUGAUUGGUGCAUCCACAGCAUUUCACAUUUUUGAAGAAAUUAUUUCCCAAAAAGUAUUUGAUGUGGCUAGUGCUCUUUGCGAAAACCAUUUGCUAUAUCGGGAUGCAACUUCAUUUCGUUCACUAGCACCUCAAAUUGAUUUAUCUUAUACUAUGUUUACAUAUAACGAGAUUAUUAUAUUAAUAUUAAGAAAAGAGAUUUCCCAUACAAAAUUCCUCUCUGGAUAAUCCGAGAUUAUAAAAUUAUCUCGUUUUAUACAACUAGAUUUUCGGUGUUAUUCCUAGGUUUAUCGAUAAUUUUGCGAAGAAAAGGAGAAAUGUCAAAUGAAAAUGUAAACAACAAUGGCCGACAGCGAAAGAAAUAUGUAUAAUACAACAACAAAUGCAACACAUUUGACAAUUGAUAAUUUCAUUUGGCUAUAUGUAAACGGUUAGAUUAUUGAACGAGCUUAGAACGAGAUUAUUUUCAUAUGUAAACAUACUAUUAGUGUAUUUUUUUCUAUUGUCUUUAAAAUACACAUUUAGAACAUAAUGUAGUCCGAUAUUAGCAAUUUUUACACAAAUACUUAAAAAUUUCCGCAACUCACUCACCAACGGAUGUUCACUGAUUUCGAAAUUAGCGUUAUCUGUAAGCAGCGAAAAGUAUUUUAUCCAGUCGGUACCAGCGUCUUUAGACAGGAGCUAAUUGAACAAUCAACCGGCCUCUGCUCGAUUAAAACGCUUAUUAAGAUCGAUUUACCAUCCAAAAUAAAAUCUACAUCGCCACAAAAGUUGCUAAGAGAGUAUUAUAGUUUUGUUCACAUAACGGUUGUUUGUAAGUCAUAAAACUAAACGAGUUAGAUACAUAUGGGUUUAUAUCUGUCUGUCCGUCCAUCCGUCCGUCUGCCCGUGCAACGGAUAACUUGAGUAAAAAUUGAGAUAUCUUAACGAAACUUGGAACACGUAUACUUUGGCAACCUGAGGAGGAGAAUGGGCAAAAUCGGACCAUUGCCACGCCCACAAAAUGGCGAAAACCAAAAACCUAUAAAGUGUCAUAACUAAGCCAUAAAUAAAGUUAUGAAAAUAAAAUUUGGAACAUAGGAUCGUAUUAGGGAGGGGCACAUUUGGAUGUAAUUUUUUGG